This 1237-nucleotide ribosomal RNA is filed under the name Xenocylindrosporium margaritarum. RNAcentral's name for it is "partial large subunit ribosomal RNA". It matches the Rfam family "Eukaryotic large subunit ribosomal RNA", at positions 1 to 1253 of the family's 3401-position model. The record is from RNAcentral. Lineage: Eukaryota; Fungi; Ascomycota; Eurotiomycetes; Phaeomoniellales; Phaeomoniellaceae.
GUUGACCUCGGAUCAGGUAGGAAUACCCGCUGAACUUAAGCAUAUCAAUAAGCGGAGGAAAAGAAACCAACAGGGAUUGCCUUAGUAACGGCGAGUGAAGCGGCAAAAGCUCAAAUUUGAAAUCUGGCUCUUUUAGAGUCCGAGUUGUAAUUUGUAGAGGAUGUUUCGGGCAAGGUUACGGUUUAAAUUCCUUGGAACAGGAUGUCAUAGAGGGUGAGAGCCCCGUCUUGAACCGCCAACCGCGUCCAUGUGAAACUCCUUCGACGAGUCGAGUUGUUUGGGAAUGCAGCUCAAAAUGGGAGGUAAAUUUCUUCUAAAGCUAAAUAUUGGCCAGAGACCGAUAGCGCACAAGUAGAGUGAUCGAAAGAUGAAAAGCACUUUGAAAAGAGAGUUAAACAGUAUGUGAAAUUGUUGAAAGGGAAGCGCUUGCAACCAGACUUGUUCAUAACAGUUCCACUUCGGUUUUCCGGAGCUUAUUCUGUUUUGACAGGCCAGCAUCGGUUUGGGUGGUUAGUUAAAGGCUUUGGGAAUGUAUCAACACCUUCGGGGGUUGACUUAUAGCCCAGAGUGUAAUGUGACCUACCCGGACCGAGGUACGCGAUUUAUCACGGAUGCUGGCAUAAUGGUUGUAAACGACCCGUCUUGAAACACGGACCAAGGAGUCUAACAUCUAUGCGAGUGUUAGGGUGUCAAACCCUUACGCGUAAUGAAAGUGAACGGAGGUAGGAACCCGCAAGGGUGCACUAUCGACCGAUCCUGAUGUCUUCGGAUGGAUUUGAGUAAGAGCAUAGCUGUUGGGACCCGAAAGAUGGUGAACUAUGCCUAAAUAGGGUGAAGCCAGAGGAAACUCUGGUGGAGGCUCGCAGCGGUUCUGACGUGCAAAUCGAUCGUCAAAUUUGGGUAUAGGGGCGAAAGACUAAUCGAACCAUCUGGUAGCUGGUUCCUGCCGAAGUUUCCCUCAGGAUAGCAGUAACGAAAUCAGUUUUAUGAGGUAAAGCGAAUGAUUAGAGGCCUUGGGGUUGAAACAACCUUAACCUAUUCUCAAACUUUAAAUAUGUAAGAAGCUCUUGUUGCUUAAUUGAACGUGAGCAUUUGAAUGUAUCGUUACUAGUGGGCCAUUUUUGGUAAGCAGAACUGGCGAUGCGGGAUGAACCGAACGCGAGGUUAAGGUGCCGGAAUACACGCUCAUCAGACACCACAAAAGGUGUCAAUGCAUCUAGACAGUCCGACGGUGGCC